AUAUUUACCUGGCAGAGGAGAUUCUGCAAUCACAAAAGUGGUUUUCCAGGGUGAGGCUCACCCCUUGCACUCUGGGUAUGCUGACCCCUGAGACUUCCCUGAAUAUUGGAAACUCGACUGUAUAAUUUGUGGUAGUGGGGGACUGUGUUCAUGCUCUCCCCUG
Artibeus jamaicensis (Jamaican fruit-eating bat) is the source of this 163-nucleotide small nuclear RNA. RefSeq annotates it as U1 spliceosomal RNA. NCBI's taxonomy places the organism in Eukaryota, Metazoa, Chordata, Mammalia, Chiroptera, Phyllostomidae. The transcript has a single exon. The record is from RefSeq and is a predicted model, not a curated record.